RNAcentral lists this ribosomal RNA (502 nucleotides) under Penicillium sp. HCX-2014. RNAcentral's name for it is "eukaryotic LSU rRNA". The stretch from base 134 to 287 matches the Rfam family "5.8S ribosomal RNA". The record is from RNAcentral. Lineage: Eukaryota; Fungi; Ascomycota; Eurotiomycetes; Eurotiales; Aspergillaceae.
CGGGCCCCUCGGGGCCCAACCUCCCACCCGUGUUGCCCGAACCUAUGUUGCCUCGGCGGGCCCCGCGCCCGCCGACGGCCCCCCUGAACGCUGUCUGAAGUUGCAGUCUGAGACCUAUAACGAAAUUAGUUAAAACUUUCAACAACGGAUCUCUUGGUUCCGGCAUCGAUGAAGAACGCAGCGAAAUGCGAUAACUAAUGUGAAUUGCAGAAUUCAGUGAAUCAUCGAGUCUUUGAACGCACAUUGCGCCCUCUGGUAUUCCGGAGGGCAUGCCUGUCCGAGCGUCAUUGCUGCCCUCAAGCCCGGCUUGUGUGUUGGGCCCCGUCCCCCCCGCCGGGGGGACGGGCCCGAAAGGCAGCGGCGGCACCGCGUCCGGUCCUCGAGCGUAUGGGGCUUCGUCACCCGCUCUAGUAGGCCCGGCCGGCGCCAGCCGACCCCCAACCUUUAAUUAUCUCAGGUUGACCUCGGAUCAGGUAGGGAUACCCGCUGAACUUAAGCAUAU